Molecule: ribosomal RNA, 406 nt
Filed under: uncultured bacterium
Lineage: Bacteria
Description: partial 16S ribosomal RNA
Rfam family: Bacterial small subunit ribosomal RNA
Source: RNAcentral
AUUGAACGCUGGCGGCAGGCCUAACACAUGCAAGUCGAACGAGUGGCGGACGGGUGAGUAAUGUCUGGGAAACUGCCUGAUGGAGGGGGAUAACUACUGGAACCGGUAGCUAAUACCGCAUACCAUCGGAUGUGCCCAGAUGGGCUGAGCUAGUGGGUGGGGUAACGGCUCACCUAGGCGAGGAUCCCUAGCUGGUCUGAGAGGAUGACCAGCCACACUGGAACGUGGACCCGGUCCAACCUCCUACGGGAGGCAGCGUUGGGGAAUAUUGCACAAUGGGCGCAAGCCUGAUGCAGCCAUGCCGGGUGUAUGAAGAAGGCCUUCGGGUUGUAAAGUACGUUCAGCGGGGAGGCGUUACCCGCAGAAGAAGCACCGGCUAACUCCGUGCCAGCAGCCGCGGUAAUAC